RNAcentral lists this ribosomal RNA (406 nucleotides) under uncultured bacterium. RNAcentral's name for it is "partial 16S ribosomal RNA". It matches the Rfam family "Bacterial small subunit ribosomal RNA", at positions 30 to 526 of the family's 1533-position model. The record is from RNAcentral.
AUUGAACGCUGGCGGCAGGCCUCACACAUGCAAGUCGAACGAGUGGCGGACGGGUGAGUAAUUUCUGGGAAACUGCCUGAUGGAGGGGGCUAACUCCUGUAAACGGUAGCUAAUACCGCAUACCAUCAGCUGUGCCCAGCUGGGAUUAGCUUGUUGGUGGGGUAACGGCUCACCAAGGCGACGAUCCCUAGCUGGGCUGCGCGGCUGACCAGCCACACUGUAACUGAUACACGGUCCAGACUCCUACGGGAGGGAGCAGUGGGGAAUAUUGCACAAUGGGCGCAAGCCUGAUGCAGCCAUGCCGGGUGUAUGAAGAAGGCCUUCGGGUUGUAAAGUACUGUCAGCGGGGAGGCGUUACCCGCAGAAGAAGCACCGGCUAACUCCGUACCAGCAGCCGCGGUAAUAC